Molecule: non-coding RNA, 316 nt
Filed under: Paramoeba aestuarina
Lineage: Eukaryota; Discosea; Flabellinia; Dactylopodida; Paramoebidae
Source: RNAcentral
AAUCUCCUCUGGGGAGGUAAAAGGCAGUGUUUCUGGAAGAGGAGAAACCCGUACAUUUACACCCACUAUAUUUUCUGUUGCUCGACAGCGAAUUAUCACUUCUUUUUAUGAGCAAAAUGACUUUAUUGAAUACAGAAUGUUACGAGAAAUGGAUAUUGACAGACCAGAACAAUACAUGCAGCGUUUAAAAGAAUCUGGAGUACCACUUCAGUCUGUGUUUGUGUCUCCAAUGACGAUUAUUAGAAUUGAUGCAGAAAUCACAGAAGCGGUGUUAAGUUGUUCUUUUCUUGACUUGCGACACACUUUUAUCUCUUCU